CUUCUCUCUGUUUCUCUUCCUUCUCCAUCUCUUCUUUUCGCCUCCUAUUCUCUUCGUCUUUCUCAUUGCCCAAAACCCUCAUUUCUUCUUCCAUUCUCAUUUUCUCUCAAAUCUCAUUUUAGAUCUCCAAAUUUAUCUACAAAAAUGAAGGAAUCGGAAGGAAAUCCUCUGCAUCUCAAGUCGAUUAACCACAUAUCGCUUCUUUGUAAAUCAGUGGAAG
RNAcentral lists this unclassified non-coding RNA (220 nucleotides) under Hevea brasiliensis (rubber tree). The record is from RNAcentral. Lineage: Eukaryota; Viridiplantae; Streptophyta; Magnoliopsida; Malpighiales; Euphorbiaceae.